RNAcentral lists this ribosomal RNA (656 nucleotides) under uncultured bacterium. RNAcentral's name for it is "bacterial SSU rRNA". It matches the Rfam family "Bacterial small subunit ribosomal RNA", at positions 124 to 775 of the family's 1533-position model. The record is from RNAcentral.
AUAUGCCUUUUGGUGGGGGACAACAGUUGGAAACGACUGCUAAUACCGCAUGAUGUCUACGGACCAAAGUGGGGGACCUUCGGGCCUCACGCCAAAAGAUUAGCCCAAGUGGGAUUAGCUAGUUGGUGAGGUAAUGGCUCACCAAGGCGACGAUCCCUAGCUGGUUUGAGAGGAUGAUCAGCCACACUGGGACUGAGACACGGCCCAGACUCCUACGGGAGGCAGCAGUGGGGAAUAUUGCACAAUGGGCGCAAGCCUGAUGCAGCCAUGCCGCGUGUGUGAAGAAGGCCUUCGGGUUGUAAAGCACUUUCAGUAAGGAGGAAAGGUUAAGUUUUAAUAGAGCUUAGCUGUGACGUUACUUACAGAAGAAGCACCGGCUAACUCCGUGCCAGCAGCCGCGGUAAUACGGAGGGUGCGAGCGUUAAUCGGAAUUACUGGGCGUAAAGCGUACGCAGGCGGUUUGUUAAGCGAGAUGUGAAAGCCCCGGGCUCAACCUGGGAACUGCAUUUCGAACUGGCAAACUAGAGUGUGAUAGAGGGUGGUAGAAUUUCAGGUGUAGCGGUGAAAUGCGUAGAGAUCUGAAGGAAUACCGAUGGCGAAGGCAGCCACCUGGGUCAACACUGACGCUCAUGUACGAAAGCGUGGGGAGCAAACAG